RNAcentral lists this long non-coding RNA (850 nucleotides) under Macaca nemestrina (pig-tailed macaque). RNAcentral's name for it is "lncRNA (ENSMNEG00000045627.1)". Lineage: Eukaryota; Metazoa; Chordata; Mammalia; Primates; Cercopithecidae. The record is from RNAcentral.
AUGGGACCGAGAGCUCAGGUGUGGGCGGAGCAUGGCCACCCUACCACGUCCAGGAGGUGGAGAUCAGAGAGAGCUCAGGUGUGGGCGGAGCAUAUCACCCUACCAAGUCCGGGAGGGGGAGAUCAGACAGAGCUCAGGUGUGGGUGGAGCAUGGCCAUCCUACCACGUCCAGGAGUAGGAGAUUGGAGUGAGCUCAGGUAUGGGCGGAGCAUAUCACUCUACCACGUCCAAGAGGGGGAGAUCGGAGAGAGCUCAGGUGUGGGUGGAGCAUAUCACUCUUCCACAUCCAGAAGUGGGGAGAUCCGAGAGCUCUCAGGUGUGGGCGGAGCAUGGCCAUCCUACCACGUCCAGGAGGGGGGAGAUCAGAGAGAGCUCAGGUGUGGGCGGAGCAUGGCCAUCCUACCAUGUCCAGGAGGGGGAGAUCAGAGAGAGCUCUCAGGUGUGGGCAAAGCAUGGCCAUCCUACCACGUCCAGGAGGCGGAGAUCAGAGAGAGUUUGGGUGUGGGCGGAGCAUGGCUAUCUUUCCACGUCCAGGAGGGGAGAUCGGAGUGGGUGCAGGAUUGGAGCUCUCCACAGAUCCACACCAGCAGCUGAAUCAAUCCAAGCCUGCCCAUGUCACGAUGACCCAGCAGUGCCUGUACUACCUGCUAAAACAAGAGCUGGAAAGCUUCAGAGGAAGGUUAGGGAUCCUGAGAUGUGGUCAACAAGUUACCCACAAUGUGUAAUAUUCAGCAAAUAAUCACGCAUACACAGAGAAACGGGGGUAGAAUCUGUGGUCAAGAAAAAGGCAGUAAAAAGUGCACACACAUGCAGGAUGGUCUCUGUCACUCACCACAUGCGGCGGCUGAGA